CCACUUAUCCGCUUAGUAAUUACUUCGGGGCAUCUUGGUACCAACUACAGCGAUACUUAGGUUGCGUUUCGAGUACCAUUAGUAUGUAACAUGAUACUAAGUGAUAUACUAAGCGGCCUAUUAAGAAUAGUACCAAGUAGCUAUGAAGGACAUACGAAGUGGUUAGCACCAAGAUGAUAUUAAGAAGGUAGGUAUCAAGUGGCGGCGUUCCGUGAGUGUAUGCUCCCUUGCUAGAGCGCUGUCAAUCUCUGAGCACGCGGAAGGAAAACACAGUUGUUUGAUUACAUAUCUAUAACAUCUACAAGGGCGACCGCUUUUUGUUGGCGCGAAAUUAUGCAACGAGGCCCUUCAUCGCACUCUGCUGGACAAGGGCCUUCACGUUUCAUCGCCUGCAGCUAUUUUUCUUGCACCGGAGACUUUUCAUGAAAACUCAAAUGCUUCGCCUUCAUCUCGCCAUGAGCCUAAUCCGCGUUUUCCUGUUUCUUAGUCCUAGUCCUAGUCCUAGUCCUAGCUAGGGGGCCAAAGGGUAGGGCAGCGUUGGGCUAGGGGGGCGCAGGGGAGGGCACCGUUGGGCUAGGGGGGCGCUAGGGGCGGCCCCCUAGCUAGUCCUAGUCCUAGUCCUAGUCCUAGUUAUUACCAGUACUGGUAAUAACUGGAAUUCAGCCUGAACUACGUAUAUUGAACCGCCCUGCACUGAGUCUUGCUACGUUGAAGCAAGGAAUAACGCCAAAGACAGAGCAGACGCACGUCAGAUGACAAACAUAAAAUGCAGGCAGGACCGGAGUUGGGCCAUCAUACACAACGUUAACAUACAUACCAGGCGUGAACUCCGGCCGUGGCGGUGCCCCAUUCAAAACACCUGUCGGAUAAAUAAUAACGGACACAUCAAGAUAUAUACAUUGGGCAGGCGGCUGGCAGAGGUUAAGGCCUGACUUCUGCUCCCAGUCGACCCAGUCGACCCGGGUUCAAAUCCGCCUGCCGGCUCCUCGGGUGUUUGAGGAGUGAUGAAAUGGGAGGUGGCCCCCCAUCUUAUGGACGGUGUAGGACGUGAUAAUAUCAACUUGCGAGCUGACCAGGAACUAAGUUGAUGCGCCGUUGAUCCGCUAGAUUUGGUUGGAUGCUGGUGGUGAGUUGCCGAACCCAACGAAUACAUUCUGAAGUCGGAUGGGGUGACGGAUUAGGGUGCCCCUCUAGCAGGGGAGAGCAGGGACUGCCCCGGGAAAGGGGGCCGCUGGCGAAGUUAACCACCCUGUAACAACAUACAUUGGUCUGGUCUGGUCGACACUAUUGUCUUGUUCAGUUUAAGGUCCUGGGUCCAAUUCCUGGGGAGACCCCGGACAUUGUCGGGAGCGUGAGAUUAUGGCUAGCUGCUGAGAUGUGGAGUUCAGGUCACAGUUGAUGGAUCGAGAUUCGCACGCUAGAUUGGUGGCAAUUGCUGAAUCCGGAUCGGCGGCGGCUCAACUCCAUUCCUGGUCAGCUCGCAAGUCAGCUUCAUCCCAGGUCACCACCGUCCAUCGACUAGGGGCACUUUACCUUCCACCAUCGGAUGGAUUUCCGACCCUGACCGGUCUCGAUCCCGGGAUCUUCGGGGGGCAAUGGUCCGUGCCUUACCAGUAGUAGCAGUAGUGCCUAACCUAGUAUUACAUGUGUAUGCAUGCAUGCAAGUAUACAUAGGAUCUAUUGUGUGCAUGGAUUGUAUAUACAUGCAUAUAUUCAUCUAUUUACCGUCGCCGAUGAACGGGCACCAGGAUUCAUUGUUAGAAGUUGCUGCUGUGCGCUAACACUGCAUACAGUUGCGCAACUGUCAAGGACAUCUCCAGUAAACACUAUCACCCAGCGAUGCACCUACCGUAACAUCGAACACCCACGUCCUGCGAACAGAAAAUCGCAAAUAAUAAAUGUGCAGGCGGAAACACUGGUUGAUGCAUUAGCUACAUAACUACAUAGCUAUUUUCAACCUGAUCAGAAGAUUUCUGCUGAGAAAAAUAAAGCAAGAUGUAGUAGCCGGCCAUUCGUGAAAAGGCUGAUAUUUUUUUAAGUAGAGCGUCUAGAAAACUAAGGUUUUCUGCGAAUUCGAAGUGCCACUGUACGAUGUACGGACUUGUGUGGUUAUGUGUUGCUGAAUUUGUGCUGGUUACUUCGGGUUUGCGUAGCUACGUUUAAAC
Molecule: long non-coding RNA, 2165 nt
Filed under: Volvox carteri
Lineage: Eukaryota; Viridiplantae; Chlorophyta; Chlorophyceae; Chlamydomonadales; Volvocaceae
Description: long non-coding RNA (VCAR_LNC001364)
Source: RNAcentral